RNAcentral lists this unclassified non-coding RNA (387 nucleotides) under soil metagenome. RNAcentral describes it as "partial contains 5.8S ribosomal RNA, internal transcribed spacer 2, and large subunit ribosomal RNA". The stretch from base 1 to 120 matches the Rfam family "5.8S ribosomal RNA", at positions 35 to 154 of the family's 154-position model. The record is from RNAcentral.
GAUGAAGAACGCAGCGAAAUGCGAUAAGUAAUGUGAAUUGCAGAAUUCAGUGAAUCAUCGAAUCUUUGAACGCACCUUGCACCCUUUGGUAUUCCGAAGGGUAUGCUCGUUUGAGUGUCAUUGUACUCUCACACUUCUAAUUCCUUUCGGGAUUGGGAGCGGUGGACUUGGGUGUUGCUGCUUUAGUUGUGGCUCACCUCAAAUAAGUUAGUGCAACUCUUGGUUGGACAUAGUACGGCGUGAUAAGUGUCUUCGCCGGCGCCUCUGUAAGGAGGGUGGCCGAUCGGGAGCUCUGUGCUUCAAACCGUCUUCGGACAAUCUUUGACAACUUGACCUCAAAUCGUGUAGGACUACCCGCUGAGCUUAAGCAUAUCAAUAAGCGGAGGA